UACAGAGGUCUCGAGCGUUAUGCGGAAUCACUGGGCUUAAAGCGUGUGUAGGCGGAUUGCUAAGUACCUUGUGAAAUCCCACGGCUUAACCGUGGAACUGCUUGGUAUACUGGCUGUCUUGAGCCACUUAGGGGCAACCGGAACAAACGGUGGAGCGGUGAAAUGCGUAGAUAUCGUGUGGAACGCCAAUGGUGAAAACAGGUUGCUGGGAGUGUGCUGACGCUGAGACACAAAAGCCAGGGGAGCAAACGGG
RNAcentral lists this ribosomal RNA (253 nucleotides) under uncultured bacterium. RNAcentral's name for it is "partial 16S ribosomal RNA". It matches the Rfam family "Bacterial small subunit ribosomal RNA", at positions 524 to 776 of the family's 1533-position model. The record is from RNAcentral.